UAUUUACCCAGAAAUUCCAUUUGGGUAUUUUCCAAACACAAUUUUACAAAUUGGGUCGCCGGCAUUUGAGGCGGGUGAAGUGGGUCAGAUAAUUCUGGGUUGAUUUAGUUUGACACUUCGAAGAACAAGAAGAACAAGAGGAAGAACACGUUGAACAAGCACAAGAAACUGAGGAAGCAGCUUUGACGACAGAUUUGGAUGGUUUACUCGGAGGUGCGAGCAGUAAGCCGAGGAAUAAGAAAGCUUUUCAAGACCACAAAAACAACAAGAUCUACCACAAUAAAAAAAAUUUAAAAUAACAGAACUUUUGUUGAACUCUGGAAAGUGUUCUAGCCGCAGAGUGCUGACCAAAAAGGAAAAAGAAGGCCUUUAUCCACUUUCCAUUCUACAUUCUUAUUACACUGCAAGCAAGAAAUAUCUCAUUAGAUUAUUUAUCAGUAAAUGGUUCUGUUUAAAUGGAUGCUUAAUUAUUUUCUUGCU
This is a long non-coding RNA of Cucurbita maxima (winter squash), 480 nucleotides long. RefSeq lists it as uncharacterized. The transcript is spliced from 2 exons. Lineage: Eukaryota; Viridiplantae; Streptophyta; Magnoliopsida; Cucurbitales; Cucurbitaceae. The record is from RefSeq and is a predicted model, not a curated record.